Molecule: ribosomal RNA, 763 nt
Filed under: Klebsiella pneumoniae
Lineage: Bacteria; Pseudomonadati; Pseudomonadota; Gammaproteobacteria; Enterobacterales; Enterobacteriaceae
Description: bacterial SSU rRNA
Rfam family: Bacterial small subunit ribosomal RNA
Source: RNAcentral
AAAAUGCCUGGCUGGUUGGGAUAUAACUGCUGGGCAACGUAGUUAAUACCGCAUGACUGUUGCAUGACCAAAGUGAGGGACUUUUCGGACGUCAUUCCAUCCAGAUGUGCCGCGGAUUGGAUUAGCUAGUCGGUGAGUUAACCGCUCACGUAGGAGACGAUCCCUAGCAGGUCUGAAAGGAUGUCCACGGCGCACUGCAAAUGAGAUGCAGUCCGGACUCUUACGGGAGGCAGCAGUGGGGACUUUUCCUCAUUUUGAGCUCCCCUGAUGCAGCCAUGGAGCGUGUGUGACGAUGGCCUUCUGGUUGUCAAGCACUUUAAGCGGGGAGGAAGGCGGUGAGGUUAAUAACCUCGUUGAUUGACGUUACCCGCAGAAGAAGCACCGGCUAACUCCGUGCCAGCAGCCGCGGUAAUACGGAGGGUGCACGCGUUAAUCGGAAUUACUGGGCGUAAAGCGCACGCAGGCGCUCUGUCAAGUCGGAUGUGAAAUCCCCGGGCUCAACCUGGGAAAUGCAUUCGAAACUGGCAGGCUAGAGUCUUGUAGAGGGGGGUAGAAUUCCAGGUGUAGCGGUGAAAUGCGUAGAGAUCUGGAGGAAUAGCCGGUGGCGAAGGCGGCCCCCUGGACAAAGACUGACGCUCAGGUGCGAAAGCGUGGGGAGCAAACAGGAUUAGAUACCCUGGUAGUCCACGCCGUAAACGAUGUCGAUUUGGAGGUUGUGCCCUUGAGGCGUGGCUUCCGGAGCUAACGCGUUAAAUCGACCGCC